Molecule: ribosomal RNA, 203 nt
Filed under: Salmonella enterica subsp. enterica serovar Infantis
Lineage: Bacteria; Pseudomonadati; Pseudomonadota; Gammaproteobacteria; Enterobacterales; Enterobacteriaceae
Also listed under: 1 other name
Description: partial 16S ribosomal RNA
Rfam family: Bacterial small subunit ribosomal RNA
Source: RNAcentral
GCUGCUAGUAAUCGUGGAUCAGAAUGCCACGGUGAAUACGUUCCCGGGCCUUGUACACACCGCCCGUCACACCAUGGGAGUGGGUUGCAAAAGAAGUAGGUAGCUUAACCUUCGGGAGGGCGCUUACCACUUUGUGAUUCAUGACUGGGGUGAAGUCGUAACAAGGUAACCGUAGGGGAACCUGCGGUUGGAUCACCUCCUUA